GACGAACGCUGGCGGCGUGCUUAACACAUGCAAGUCGAACGGAAAGGCCCUGCUUUUGUGGGGUGCUCGAGUGGCGAACGGGUGAGUAACACGUGAGUAACCUGCCCUUGACUUUGGGAUAACUUCAGGAAGCUGGGGCUAAUACCGGAUAGGAGCUCCUGCUGCAUGGUGGGGGUUGGAAAGUUUCGGCGGUUGGGGAUGGACUCGCGGCUUAUCAGCUUGUUGGUGGGGUAGUGGCUUACCAAGGCUUUGACGGGUAGCCGGCCUGAGAGGGUGACCGGCCACAUUGGGACUGAGAUACGGCCCAGACUCCUACGGGAGGCAGCAGUGGGGAAUAUUACACAAUGGGCGGAAGCCUGAUGCAGCAACGCCGCGUGCGGGAUGACGGCCUUCGGGUUGUAAACCGCUUUCGCCUGUGACGAAGCGUGAGUGACGGUAAUGGGUAAAGAAGCACCGGCUAACUACGUG
Molecule: ribosomal RNA, 468 nt
Filed under: uncultured bacterium
Lineage: Bacteria
Description: partial 16S ribosomal RNA
Rfam family: Bacterial small subunit ribosomal RNA
Source: RNAcentral